CCCCAGCGCCACAAGUUGCAAUCGCUUUUAUUGGGUCUAAAGCGUCCGUAGCCGGUUUUCUAAAUGCCCUGUGAAAUAGUUACGCCCAACGUAACUGCGUGCAGGGUAGACUGGAAAACUUGAGACUGGGAGAAGCAUAAGGUAUGCCAAGGGGAGCGGUAAAAUGUUAUAAUCCUUGGUGGACCACCGAUGGCGAAAGCAUUAUGCUAGAACAGAUCUGACGGUGAGGGACGAAAGCCAGGGGAGCGAUCGG
Molecule: ribosomal RNA, 253 nt
Filed under: uncultured archaeon
Lineage: Archaea
Description: partial 16S ribosomal RNA
Rfam family: Archaeal small subunit ribosomal RNA
Source: RNAcentral